RNAcentral lists this ribosomal RNA (121 nucleotides) under Porrocaecum angusticolle. RNAcentral's name for it is "partial 5.8S ribosomal RNA". It matches the Rfam family "5.8S ribosomal RNA", at positions 33 to 154 of the family's 154-position model. Rfam says of the family: 5.8S ribosomal RNA (5.8S rRNA) is a component of the large subunit of the eukaryotic ribosome. It is transcribed by RNA polymerase I as part of the 45S precursor that also contains 18S and 28S rRNA. Lineage: Eukaryota; Metazoa; Nematoda; Chromadorea; Rhabditida; Ascarididae. The record is from RNAcentral. RNAcentral also lists the same sequence under 1 other name.
UCGAUGAAGAACGCAGCUAGCUGCGAUAAAUAGUGCGAAUUGCAGACACAUUGAGCACUAAGAAUUCGAACGCGCAUUGCGCCAUCGGGUUCAUUCCCGUUGGCACGUCUGGCUGAGGGUC